Molecule: long non-coding RNA, 3448 nt
Organism: Gopherus evgoodei (Goodes thornscrub tortoise)
Lineage: Eukaryota; Metazoa; Chordata; Testudines; Testudinidae
Exons: 2
Source: RefSeq, a predicted model, not a curated record
CCUCAAGGACUGAGCUCACAACUGUGGGUUUAGCAGGCCAACGUGCAAACCACUGAGCUAUGUUCCCCCCUGGAACUGGGAGGGGAACCAGCAAAGAGCAGGGAAGUGACUUGCCCCAGGUCACAUACAAGGUUUGUGACAGAGCUGAGAUUAGAACCCAAGUCUCCUGAUUCCUAGCCCACUGGUCUACCCACUGUACUGUGCCACCCUGAGAGCAUGUCUGUUUCCCCUUUCCUGGUGUCUCAGCCAGUAGACUGACGCCUUCUCUGUACUGUUUGUGGGCUUUUGCACAGUUGUAGCUUACACUAAGAGUCUUGCAGCUAACCCUGGCUUCACAUUCUGCUUACUCCAGUGCAGGUUUCAAACUGAGUUUUAGCUGCCAUCAGUGCAAGUCACUUUUCGACACCAGAACGCCAUGUCUACACUCAGGGUUUGAAGUAAUGCAGUUAAUUACACCUCGCAUAGACCAGGUCUGGGAUGCAGAAUGGCAGUCAUUAGCUACAGAAGGGUGGGGAGGGUACAGAGAGAAGCAGGGAGCCCUAAAGGAAUUUUAAAAACCUUCUGGGCAUCUGCACUUUAGAUGCAUCUUGAUUUUAAAUCCACUUCUGAUCACCAGUGCAAGUCGCUGCCCAAGCACACUUGAAAUUUCUCAGCCCUGGCAAAUCUAUUUUAAAAACCACCUAAAUUAUAUUUUGCUAGUUUGGGGGCUUUUUGGUCUGGCGUUAAAACAUAGGAAUGUAUAGUGGAAAUCCUUGAGAAGCUGAAAACGACCUGCCUUAACCUUUUUGUUUCAAUGCAAAAAGCUCUUCCAGGGGAUGGCGGUUUUAAAUCGACCGGGAUUUUGUAGAACGCCAAUUUUGUUUCCAGUUUGUUCACUGACAUAGUGGCAGCAGCGUGCGACUCAGACUAAACGCUCACUGCAUUCUCUGCACCCAGUCUGCAGCCCUAAAAGCAAGUCAGGGUACUUUGAUCCAGCACACUAGCAGCAACGUUUGGGAGGUAUUUGUUUGACAUCCUGCUGGAUGACAGCUGGUGGGGAGUGCCUGGUCCGUUGCCAAGGAAGAAGGGCAAGUGGCUGGUGACCCAUAAACACUGUGCGGCCUGGCUGUGCUUGUCUGAGCUAACUAGUUACUGCCCAGUCGCUAACCUCCCUUCAGGAGGAUUGGAUCCCUCUCCUCUUGGAUAUGCCAGUGUUGGUCUGGUUAGUGACCUCCACAGGGCAAUGGAGAGAGAGGUCAGGAGCUCAGGCCAAUAUUACUUGGUCUACCAAGAAAUGGCCAAAUGCUUUCAUGCCCUUUUGGAACCUGGGCAGGAACCAGAGGGCAGUGAUCGGUGGACCUUUUCUCUUGGGGAAUGUCCUAAUGGAGGGACGCUGUCAGGCUCCAGCUUGUGUGCCCUCUUGUUUAGCAUGUCUGAGCUUUGGAGGGGGAGAGAGGCAUUCAGACGUUGGGAUGCUGUACGAUAGGCAUGAAAGGAGAAUUCCUGUAACUUAGAAAACUAUUUUAAAGUUCACGACCUAUUGGUAUUUAUCCUUCCCAUAUAUACCCGAUUUGACUCACCUUUCGCCUGCCUAGAUGGGCGGUGACAGACGCCCUGUUAUUAUCUUGGGAAGAUCCCCCUAGCUAUCCGAACCACCCAAGAAAAGCCUUUCCUCACAAGAUCCAUCCCAGAGCCAGUGCAAACUGGACCAAGGCUCUAGGGGCUGGAUUUUCCUAUGAGGGGUCAUGUACACCAGCACAAGGUGGGUGAACAGUCUGAUCUGGUAGUACUCUGCCUCCCACUUUGUAUUGUAACGUAACCGUCUGAAUGCCAAGGGCCAAUCAGGCUGCAGGGCAUUGGUGCCAUAGGACAGCACAGCUCUGAUCUCAGUUCCUCAGUACUGAGUCAAGGACACCCAAUAAUAAGUCCAGCAUCCACCUCACAGAGACUCAGAUCAGGCAGCAGCUCUGUCAUGUGAGCUGAAAGGGAGCCUGCCUUUGGCAGAGGUGCUGGGAGUUGUGCCUGGCUGGAAUUUGCUCUCACGUUGCUUCAUCGGUGGUUGUGUAAGCCUGAGUUUCUGUGGUUAUUUCAAAAUUCCAGUAACGCCCCUUUCAUUGUCUGUCUGCACAGAUUAAAAGGGGUGGCUCUCUGCCUUGGGCUCAGCUGGCAAACCUCAGAAGUUGGCCAAUUUUGAUAUAGUAAGUCAAAAAGCCUGACUGGGACUAAUAAUGUGUUUCAACCUGGCCCCAGGUAAAAUACCCAACUGCUGAGUCUUUACUGUGCGGUUUUGUAGUGGACAUUUCCAGCUCCAUUUCAGACUCACCUUUGAAUCAGAGCUGUCGCGCCGGGUGGGCUAUUUGGAGAUUGCUGGCACUAUGGUGUGAACUGUAGCUAAGAUUAUGCUGCUAUGUUUAAAAAGUGAGUAAUUAUGUAAAAUAAACCCUCUUGUCCUGUUAAGGUCUGGGGACGGACAUCUCAGAGGAUGCUGAGAUGUGGGGAGUUGUCCUUUCCCUGUGCUUCUAAAGUUGUCCUGAUAGUCUCCUGAUAAACAACUGUACGUUGCCCAAUCUGUAACCAGGCAGCUGCUGUGCCUAACAGAAGUCAGGUAGUAUUUCUAGCCCUUCCACUCGCCUGGAUGUUUAAUUCUUGAACUCUCAUUUUCCUUUCCUGGGUGAAAGAAGGAUUUAAGCUCCCAGGACACAAAAAUAAUUAACUUGCUGAGGAUUUAGUUUUUGUUUCCUUCCAGCUUUUUAAAAAUGAUGUUGCAUCUGUGAAUAAAACAGUGUAGGAGUGAAUCGGACCAGAGCCCUGUGUUAAGUGACUAAGGACUGGAGUCUUCUUCCCCUGCUGUCAUCCUGGGUCCUUUUGGGAUCACUAGAGGCACUGACCAGUGGUGACAAGGCAGCUGCAGCUCUCCCUGCCCCUUUGAAGAAGGGGAGGAUGCUGAUUCCUAGGGUGCCUGUGCCCCAGCAAUGGUGAAGCUGCACUGUGGUUGGCAGGGCUCAGGCAUUCUUAGCUGCUGUUUUCUGAGGCUGAACUGCUCCUGCAUGGAUUCCAACCACCAAAAAGGGCAAACAAAUUCUCUGCAGGAUGGAAGCCCUGAGAGACUGUAAACCCUGUGAGAAUUUUGAGGUCCCUGGCUAAAGUACUAGGUCAGAGGCUUGGGUUGUAGGGUUCUUCCCUCAUAGAUACGGAGAAGAGGCAGUGAAGUGAAUGCUGGAAUGGGUUGAACUUGAAUGGCCCUUCCACCUGGCACAAGAUAGUAAAAAUUAACAGUGCAGGAGCACUUCAGAUUGAGAAGUCAUUUGUGGCACCUGCUUACAUGUAAAUAGUCUCUUAUUAAGUGUCACAUCUUUGGUAAGAGUCUAAUACCCAUCUCACAGAUCUAAACACUGCCUUGGGAAAAUGGAAUACAGCUCGGGUGGAGGGGGAAACAUACCAAGUACUAAAAAUAAAGCCACACCAAUUA